Cavia porcellus (domestic guinea pig) is the source of this 1015-nucleotide long non-coding RNA. RefSeq lists it as uncharacterized. Lineage: Eukaryota; Metazoa; Chordata; Mammalia; Rodentia; Caviidae. The record is from RefSeq and is a predicted model, not a curated record. The transcript is spliced from 2 exons.
CGCGAGGAGUGCGUGCGUGCGCGUGCGUGCGAGCCCGGGGACGAAGGGAGGGCGGGGGCGCCUGGGCAGGCCGGCUGGAAGGCACCAGGGGCGGGGGUACCUGGAGGAGCCGGUUGGGGGGCGGCUGGGGCCGCGGGGGCGCGCGGCUUUUUGCGUGCGCGUGUGCACGAGCAUGUGUGCCUGUGUGUGAGCGCGGUGGGGCGGGGUGCGCUCGGGCCGUGGGCGCUCGCGGAUCACGCACCGGUUGUCUCUGCGUUUGCAGGAGCCUGUGAGUCGUCAGAAAGGCAUAUGGAGAAAAAGGCAGGGCCUCUCUUCCUGGGCCCCACGGCCCCCGCCGCCCGCCAACGGAAUCUGAUUAAUCCUCGUGGGGCGGGAAAUAGAGCUGGCGGAGCAGGGCAGGGGGCCAGAAGUGGGAAGAGGGUGACAGAACAUCUGCUCUGGCCGGGGAGGUCCAGACCCCUCUCCCUCCUGGAGCUGCCCCAGACCGGUGUCCGGACGCACUCCGUUGUUAAAAAGUGGCCUCCGCCAGUUGGAAGGUGCUGAGCCCAGGGCAGCUCGGACUUGCCAGGGCCGCGGGCCCGCUGCGCUGCCGGAGGGCAGCCGGGGAGCUCGGUGACCGCACGGGGACUGAGACCAUGGACGUGAUGUCACUCCACUUCUGACACAUUUACAACCCGACAGUGGUCCUCGUGCUUGUCCUCACCAGUGCACCCCACCUGUGUGACAAGUGACCCACAAAUGUACUGAUGGCCCAGCCAACCUAUCUUCGAGAUCCAUUGGACCUCAGUGAUCCUGUUGCUGCCCAGCACUUCUGUCCCCCUCAGUUGUUCAGUUUCAUAAACUCACUUGUUGGUUUAAACUCUGCGUGUUUGGAGCCUGGCAUAAUUAACUCUUCCUCUGCAAGCUUUCCUGUAUAGAGAUUUUCUACUGGACUACUACAGGUGGCACAGGUACAAUAAUGCUCCCUUUUUCUGUUGAUAACCACUGUCAUAAUAAAAAGUUUCUACUUAUGAAA